UACGAAGGGGGCUAGCGUUGUUCGGAAUUACUGGGCGUAAAGGGCGCGUAGGCGGUGUGUCAAGUCAGGGGUGAAAGCCCAGAGCUCAACUCUGGAACUGCCCUUGAAACUGUAUGGCUUGAGUAUGAGAGAGGUGAGUGGAAUUCCCAGUGUAGAGGUGAAAUUCGUAGAUAUUGGGAAGAACACCGGUGGCGAAGGCGGCUCACUGGCUCAUUACUGACGCUCAGGCGCGACAGCGUGGGGAUCAAACAGG
RNAcentral lists this ribosomal RNA (253 nucleotides) under uncultured bacterium. Its description in RNAcentral is "partial 16S ribosomal RNA". It matches the Rfam family "Bacterial small subunit ribosomal RNA", at positions 524 to 776 of the family's 1533-position model. The record is from RNAcentral.